Molecule: unclassified non-coding RNA, 345 nt
Filed under: soil metagenome
Description: partial contains 5.8S ribosomal RNA, internal transcribed spacer 2, and large subunit ribosomal RNA
Rfam family: 5.8S ribosomal RNA (bases 1-120)
Source: RNAcentral
GAUGAAGAACGCAGCGAAAUGCGAUACGUAAUGUGAAUUGCAGAAUUCAGUGAAUCAUCGAGUCUUUGAACGCACAUUGCGCCCCCUGGUAUUCCGGGGGGCAUGCCUGUCCGAGCGUCAUUGCUGCCCUCAAGCACGGCUUGUGUGUUGGGCCUCCGUCCUCCUCCCGGGGGACGGGCCCGAAAGGCAGCGGCGGCACCGCGUCCGGUCCUCGAGCGUAUGGGGCUUCGUCACCCGCUCUUGUAGGCCCGGCCGGCGCUUGCCGACACAUCAAUCUUUUUUCCAGGUUGAACUCGGAUCAGGUAGGGAUACCCGCUGAACUUAAGCAUAUCAAUAAGCGGAGGA